UACGUAGGGACCAAGCGUUGUUCGGAUUUACUGGGCGUAAAGCGUGCGCAGGCGGCUUUGCAAGACAGAUGUGAAAUCCCCGGGCUCAACCUGGGAACUGCGUUUGUGACUGCAGGGCUGGAGUGCGGCAGAGGGGGAUGGAAUUCCGCGUGUAGCAGUGAAAUGCGUAGAUAUGCGGAGGAACACCGAUGGCGAAGGCAAUCCCCUGGGCCUGCACUGACGCUCAUGCACGAAAGCGUGGGGAGCAAACAGG
RNAcentral lists this ribosomal RNA (253 nucleotides) under uncultured bacterium. RNAcentral's name for it is "partial 16S ribosomal RNA". It matches the Rfam family "Bacterial small subunit ribosomal RNA", at positions 524 to 776 of the family's 1533-position model. The record is from RNAcentral.